Molecule: long non-coding RNA, 363 nt
Filed under: Elaeis guineensis (African oil palm)
Lineage: Eukaryota; Viridiplantae; Streptophyta; Magnoliopsida; Arecales; Arecaceae
Description: long non-coding RNA (EGUI_LNC018963)
Source: RNAcentral
AAUCCCAUGGUGCAUAACAAAGCCUAAAAGACAGGGACGUCAUUUUCUUCCAGGAAGUUCUCCUAGAGUUCUUGGACGCAAGCGAGGUUCUUGAGGACGCCGGCGGCAGCGGUUUGGGUGGAGGGUGUGCCGACGCGGUAGACCUUAAGAAGGGCGGCGAUGCCCCCACGGGAGCCGGCCGCCAUGGCAUUGUCUUUGGCAAGGGUCAGGGUUUGGAGAGCGGUGCAGGCCUGCUCUCGGGGGGCGCCCCCGCCGCCGUCGAACUCAAGGGCACAGGCGAGGUGGUGAAGGAGAGGGGCGCCAUCGGUGACCAGCACGUGGUGGCAGCUCUCGACGGCGGCAAUCCUUUCGAUCAUGGCCUUG